This 433-nucleotide ribosomal RNA is filed under the name uncultured bacterium. RNAcentral's name for it is "bacterial SSU rRNA". It matches the Rfam family "Bacterial small subunit ribosomal RNA", at positions 917 to 1350 of the family's 1533-position model. The record is from RNAcentral.
GGGCCCGCACAAGCGGUGGAGUAUGUGGUUUAAUUCGAUGCAACGCGAAGAACCUUACCAGGGUUUGACAUCCUGCGAAUCUCUUGGAAACAGGAGAGUGCCUUCGGGAACGCAGUGACAGGUGGUGCAUGGCUGUCGUCAGCUCGUGUCGUGAGAUGUUGGGUUAAGUCCCGCAACGAGCGCAACCCACGUCUUUAGUUGCCAGCGGUUCGGCCGGGGACUCUAGAGAAACUGCCAGCGUAAGCUGUGAGGAAGGUGGGGAUGACGUCAAAUCAUCACGGCCCUUACGUCCUGGGCCACACACGUGCUACAAUGCUACGGACAAAGGGCAGCAAGUUCGCGAGGACAAGCAAAUCCCAUAAACCGUGGCUCAGUUCAGAUCGUAGGCUGCAACUCGCCUACGUGAAGGCGGAAUCGCUAGUAAUCGCAGGUC